CUCCCUGUGGCUCAGUUGGUAGAGCAUGGUGUUUGCAAUGCUAGGGUUGUGGGUUUGAUUCCCAUGGGGGGC
This 72-nucleotide transfer RNA is filed under the name Salmo salar (Atlantic salmon). It matches the Rfam family "tRNA". Rfam says of the family: Transfer RNA (tRNA) molecules are approximately 80 nucleotides in length. Lineage: Eukaryota; Metazoa; Chordata; Actinopteri; Salmoniformes; Salmonidae. The record is from Rfam by way of RNAcentral.